CCCCCCUCCUCUCACAUUUGUGCGCACGUUGGUGAUUCACUCCAUUUACUUUGCUCUCCCGGCCUCGCCCACCCGAGGCAGUCACCCACAAACGCACACACAGAUAGACAGUCUACAACUGAAUCGCCUCACGCCCUCACGAUAUACCCCCUCUCCCUCCUGCGGUGGACACUCUUCCCUGUGUUUUCUCCAUCGCGCCUCGUUCUCGAGGUGUAACGGACUCGUCUUCUCCAGGAGCACCUGUGGCGUUGGGACCGCCGGCAGCACGAUUCGGCUUGCGCGUUUUUUCCCCUUUUUUUUCUGCUGAGAAACAGAAAGAGAGGCUGACAUCCUUCCUUCCUCUCCUCCGUGUGCGUUCGUGUGUGUGUGUGUCGUUGGGCGUCUCUUCCCGUUCCUCGCCUCACCGGCUUCUUGUUUUGCGUGUGACGCGGGACAGAACCAGACGAGUGCGAGAGAGACACACACGGUCGCGACGAAUACAGCCACGCACUCGAAGACAGUGUGUUGGGACAGCAGAGAGAAGCGCGGAACAGAAGAGCGAAAAGGAAAGUGUCUCUCGCCACCAAGCGGAGCUCAUUACGCGUACACCGUUUUGAUACACACGCACAUACGCGGCAUAUCCCACCCAACGCCCAUCUCCGUGAACGAAAACGAGGAGCGGCGCUGACAGUGCAGCGUCUCAUCGUUUUCUUUGUUUUUUUUUUCAUCUCUCCGUUCCCCUCCCUCCCCCUCCGAGCACCACCGUGCGCUCUCUUUGUCUGCUAUACAGACUCGCUCUUGUCUUUGUCUUGCGCUCCCCUCGCUGGUUCUCUCUGUGAGCCGCCGCCGCCGCAGCAGCCCUGCCUCUCCGGCUCGGCCUACGUCUGCCUGUGCGUCUGUGUAGGUGUGAGGUGGUGCGCCAUCCAUCAUCUUUCUUUCCGCCACACCUCUCUCCCUUGUCCUUUAGUUGUGUGUGGUGUGUGCUCUCGCCUCUUCUCUCUUCGUCGAUUUCUCGUGUUCGUGCCCGUGCAUCUGCGAGUGGCAGGCAGCUCGUCUCUCUUUCUCUCCCACCCCACCGCACAUCUUCUGCACUUUCGCCUUGCUUUUCUCGCGUGCGUUGCGCAUGUGAAGUGCGCUAGUUUGUAAGAUUGUGUGUGUGCGCGCGCCUCGGCAGCAUCUCUUCCCACCAACUUCCUUCUGCGUUGGUGUUUUCUAGCGCUGUCUGCGUUCCUAUCUCGCUCUCUCUCGCUCUCGCUCUGUUCGCGUGCGCGCGUCACCGUGUCCGUGCGCCGUCGCUGUUUUUUUUUUUUUUCAGGGUGUUUCUGAUCUCCCCUUCCAUUUCUUUGCUUCUCCGCCUUACUUGUGUGCUCCCACUACGCCGUCCUUCUUCGAGAAGCUCACCACCAAGUUCAGCCCCAGUAACAAGAAAAAAGGAAACACCACCUCGUCAUCCAGUCACACCCGAGACAACAUGUCGCUCAACGCUGCCGAUGCCGCGGACGAACGAAGUCGCAAGGAGAUGGACCGGUUCCAGGUGGAGCGCAUGGCUGGGCAGGGUACAUUCGGCACAGUGCAACUAGGGAAGGAGAAGUCGACAGGCAUGAGCGUGGCGAUCAAAAAGGUUAUCCAAGACCCGCGCUUCCGCAACCGCGAGCUGCAGAUCAUGCAGGACCUCGCCGUGCUGCACCACCCCAACAUCGUCCAGCUCCAGAGCUACUUCUACACCCUGGGUGAGCGCGACCGCCGCGACAUCUACCUCAAUGUCGUGAUGGAGUACGUGCCGGAUACGCUGCACCGCUGCUGCCGCAACUACUACCGCCGUCAAGUGGCGCCACCGCCGAUCCUGAUCAAGGUCUUUCUUUUUCAGCUGAUCCGAAGUAUCGGGUGCUUGCACCUGCCCUCCGUAAACGUGUGCCACCGCGACAUCAAGCCACACAACGUGCUCGUUAACGAGGCGGACGGCACACUGAAGCUGUGCGAUUUUGGCAGUGCGAAGAAACUCUCGCCGUCGGAGCCGAACGUGGCAUACAUCUGCUCUCGUUACUACCGAGCCCCUGAGCUCAUCUUCGGUAACCAGCACUACACGACCUCGGUCGACAUCUGGUCGGUGGGGUGUAUCUUUGCUGAGAUGAUGCUUGGCGAGCCCAUCUUCCGCGGCGACAACAGCGCCGGCCAGCUGCACGAAAUUGUGCGCGUGCUCGGCUGCCCCUCGCGCGAGGUGCUGCGUAAGCUGAAUCCGUCGCACACGGACGUGGAUCUAUACAAUAGCAAGGGCAUCCCGUGGAGCAACGUUUUCUGUGAUCAUUCGCUGAAGGACGCCAAGGAGGCGUACGAUCUUCUUAGUGCGCUGCUGCAGUACUUGCCGGAGGAUCGCGUGAAGCCUUACGAAGCACUGUGCCAUCCGUACUUUGACGAGCUUCACGACUCCGCCACGAAGCUGCCGAAUAACAAGGAUCUCCCGGAAGACCUCUUCCGCUUCCUGCCGAGCGAGAUCGAGGUCAUGAGCGAAGCGCAGAAGGCCAAGCUGGUUCGCAAGUAGAGGGGAGGGGCGAAGCGAGGUGGAUGGAGGGAGCCGGUCGCACGGCUGUGCCAAAGACGCAGAAGAAGCGUGAUGACGGCAGAGCGCCCUUGCAGCGGGCCCGAAGAAACAAAGGAUGACAGAGGGGAAGCGUCAUGUCAGCGGUGCGGAGAGUGGCGCAGCGGCCAACAGAGCGGGAGAAGCCGGUAGACAAUGACUGAGACCGUUGUGGUGGUGAGGAGAGCAGCUGGAGCUUCCUCUUCAGCGCCUUUUUGUUAUUGUUGUUGUUGCGUGGGAUGCCUCUGCAUCCCUCGGCGGCUCCUCCGCCUCUACCCUGCUCGAUGACUCACAGAUGCGGCUGAGAGGCUCUUGCUUAUGAGUGCUGAUGCUGUAGCGAUGCGACACGCCCAAAGUAUCGCCUCCUCUGCUUGGUGUGUUUCGUUCAAACAUGCGCACAUACCCAUGCCCUCCUUUUUUUUUCCGUGAAGGGUGAAGUCUGUGUCUGUAUGAUUGUCGAGGCAGUUGCAGGUGACCUGUUUCCCUCUCUCUAUAUAGUUUUUCCUUUUUAUAUCUCGAUCGAGUGGCCGAGUGCGUGUGCGUGUGUGUGUGCUUGUGUGCGCUCACCGCUCUCCGUCUCUCUCUUCCUCUACCUCUUCCUUCCCCAUUCCUAAGAUGCCGAGGUGCACCUGCGCAUGCGCGCGGGUGUGUACACACGCCCUGUUCCCACAUCUCCGGCCGUCUAUUUCGGCGUCUCUCCUGUGAUGUGCGUGCCGGUUGAAUUUUCAGAAUGGCUUUCUUCUUCACCUGUAGCGUGGCAUGACUCUUGCGCACAUAGGCAAUGCACACGACUGCGCACGCGCCGUCUGUGUUCCCGGCGCAACGCGCUUCCCGUGCACGCGUGGGCUUCCGUUGUCUUUGUUCUCGUGCCCGGAUGAUUGCGAUGACGGACGAAAACCACGAAGGGGAAAACGCAGCGGCGAAAAGAAGGCCGUGAGUCAGGCGUUCCUGUGUGGCGUGGCGCUGUCCACGGAGAGCGGGGAGACGGAUGAGGUCUUAUGGGCGUGUGAGCACACGUGUGAGUGCGCCUCAUCAACGACCCUCUCUGCCUCUUCCUCGUGGCUUUUCAGUGGUGCGAUCGUCAUCGCUUCGAACCCUUUCACGAGGGGUCACGGACAGAGGACAUGCACACAGCCACACAGCCGCACAUCACAGCCCUCUCUCUCGAGUAGAAAAUACGAAGCACGUUGUAUGGCGGCUCUACUUUUCGGAUACACGAUAUAUAUAUAUUACAUGAAAGGCGAGCAGCUGUGAAAAGGGGCCAGCCCAGAACAAGAGACAAAAUCUUUUUUUUCUCUCAACGGCAGCACUGCGAAGUAUCGAAGCGAGAGCGAGAGAGGGGGAGAGGGAGAGAAAGUAGAGGGACAGAGCGCAACGCACGCAGAGGCGGUUGGAGGGGGGGGGGGGAAACCAAGUGACGACCACAUCAGCACGAAAUCUCCUUGUUGUGCCGACACGCUGAGGUCAACGGAAAGGAGGUCGCUGCAAGCUUCAUUCCGCGGCCGCGAUCUGCACUCCUUGUUUCUCCUCUCGCCCAUCUAGGACGUCGAUGGCAUGCAUGCAGUUGUGCAGGCACGGCAGCCGCUUCCUUCAUCUUCAAUGCUCUUUCUGUGCGUCUCUCGCUGGUCGUCGCCCACCGCGCACGGUUACAUGACGCCUGAUGAGCAGUCCUGCCCUUGCGCCCUCUGCGUACGCGCGCCUUUUCUUUUUUUUUUCCUUUUUUUUCGCUCUUAGGUACCGUUCUUUGCGCCUUUGCGUUUUUGCGCGUGCUGUGUUGCGCCGACCUCUCCACCCCCUCCGCCUCUCGCCACGUUCUACUUUGCCCUAUGGUUUGGUUUUCAUUUCUAGGAAUAGAUAGCUCUCCGUCUCUUUACUCGUUGUUCCGAAGAGGAACAGCAAAAAAAAGUAAAAAAAAGCAGGAUAAAAGCUGAUGAAGAAUUGAACUGGACGAACGCUCUCUCCGCCACAUUCUCCGCGUUCCUCUCUGCUCUUGUCCUCCCUCCCCCUCACGUUGCGUCACAUCCUCUCCGCUGAUCUUCCGUGCGUCAUGCACAUACAGACACCCGCAUCUCCGCGGAGCAGCGAAAGGAGGGAUAGCUCGCAGAGAGAGAUCGAGAGGGGGGGGUGGAGACGAGGAAGAGCCCAGAGAGCGCGUGAAUGCACUACUGUGGACAAGAGAUACAUAAUGAGAAGCGUGCGAGAAGGCGGGCGAGAGAGGAAAAAGAGGUGCGCGAAGCGAUGAACGCCAUUUUCGUUUUCGUUUCCCCGCUUGCACACGUCAGCGCGUGGCAUGUUAGCAUAAGCGGCUCUCUCUCUCCGUCUGUCUGUGUCUGUGUCGGAGUUAAUGUUUUCCUUCUUUCUCGUGUUUGUCGUUUUCUCGUUGCUUCCGUUGCUCAUUCUGUUUUGUGUGUGUGUUUCGUUGUCUCUUCAUGUGUUGCCAAUUUGGUGUCAUCGGCUCUCUCUCUGUCUCUCUCUCGUGGCUGUCUUUCUGAUGCGCAGGGGAUUUUUCUUCUGUACUGUUUCGGUGCGUCUUUCGUCCGUACGUUUCUUGUCGUUUUAUCUUUCUUUCUGUGCCUGUGUUUGCGCCGUUCUCUCAUGCCCUGUUCGGUCUUUUUUUUUUAUUUGCGUCGUGGCGUUGAUGGUCUCUCUCUACCGGGUCGUCUGCGCGGGGCGGAUGGCGCUGGUGCGGAAGCGUUCAUUCUUCCCAUGUGAGGGAUCGAACAUGUACGUUUGUGCGUGUAUGCGUCGCGGCUUGUUUGGUAGCGUUUUUAUAUUUUUGUGUUGUUUUUGGCGCGUGUAGACACGCGUACACGUCGGUUUCUUUCGAAAAAAAAAAAGAGACCCAAGCGACGAGGGGAAGGGAGAGCGCGCGAGGGAAGGGGGAAUGAGCGGCGAAAGCGAAAUGCUGGAGGUGCGCAGCCGACUUUUGGCUGCCCCCCCUCCCUCUCCCCCCAGUGUGUACUUACUGCCUCAUGCGACGAGGAGUGCGCUGCGGCUGAGCAAGCGUGCAUGCCCUUGGGCGGAAUAGGUGACAUUGCAGCUGCGCUGAGAGCCGAGGAAGGGAGGGGAUCGUGAGAUGUUGCCCAGAUUCUUGCUUCUCUCUCUGUGUCCUCCCUCUCUCCUGGUCUCUGCGCUCCCUGAUCUCGUGCGAAAAUGAUAAAAAUGUAUGUAGUUUUGUCUUUUUGUAUGUGUGUGUGCGUGCAUGCGUGCGUUGCGGCGCGUGUGUACGGUGCAUUAUUCGUUGUUUCUUUCUCUGUUCUUUCUUUUUUUUUGUGUUGAUGCUCCGUGUGUGUCGCAUGUGCGUUUUGGUUGUUCGCCUCCCCCCUCCCCGACAGCACCGGCUGAACGCGGUGCUCGCUCGCUGUUUCUCUCAUCUUCUUUUUUGUGUCUUUUGUGGGUUCAUGUGCACGUGUGGGCGUCUGUGUUGGCGAGCGUCUAUGUCCAACGGUGUCCGUACGGGGUGUGCGCGGGAUUUUUGUGCGCGAGAGUGCCUUUUUUUUUUUGACUUCCGUGCUUGUGCUUGUUGUGGUUGCUUGUUUUACUGUAGGAGUGUUGUGUGUGUGUGUGUGGUGUGGUGUCGCUCUGGUGUAUGUUUGCUCUAUGUCUCAUCUGAGGCUCGCUUCUUUUCUUUCGUCUUGUUCGGGUGUCGUUGUACUGUGAUGUAGGUGCCCCUGUAUGCGUGUGCGACUUUUCGUCCCCCUUUGGCUGUUGUUGGUGUUCUCCCUCGAUUUGUCACCUCAUCCCUUCCCACCGUCGUCACUGCCCACGUUGCUCAUGCAUCAUCUGCGCCAACACACCCACGACGGCACCAAACGUAAAGCCGAUUCCGCUCUUCAGUGGCUAUUUUUCUCCCUCCUUGGGUGUUUGUGCCACGCCCUCGCUUACUUGGCUAUCGCUCUCGCUCCUCCUAUCGGCACACACACACACACACACACAUACACACACGCACACGUAUAUAUACGCACAUGUAUGCACCGCCCCAUGAAG
This 6541-nucleotide unclassified non-coding RNA is filed under the name Leishmania donovani. RNAcentral describes it as "gene:LdHU3.18.0340(CDS-product:glycogen_synthase_ kinase_3_putative)". Lineage: Eukaryota; Euglenozoa; Kinetoplastea; Trypanosomatida; Trypanosomatidae. The record is from RNAcentral.